Molecule: ribosomal RNA, 400 nt
Filed under: Escherichia coli
Lineage: Bacteria; Pseudomonadati; Pseudomonadota; Gammaproteobacteria; Enterobacterales; Enterobacteriaceae
Description: bacterial SSU rRNA
Rfam family: Bacterial small subunit ribosomal RNA
Source: RNAcentral
AAAUUGAAGAGUUUGAUCAUGGCUCAGAUUGAACGCUGGCGGCAGGCCUAACACAUGCAAGUCGAACGGUAACAGGAARCAGCUUGCUGYUUYGCUGACGAGUGGCGGACGGGUGAGUAAUGUCUGGGAAACUGCCUGAUGGAGGGGGAUAACUACUGGAAACGGUAGCUAAUACCGCAUAACGUCGCAAGACCAAAGAGGGGGACCUUCGGGCCUCUUGCCAUCGGAUGUGCCCAGAUGGGAUUAGCUWGUWGGUGGGGUAACGGCUCACCWAGGCGACGAUCCCUAGCUGGUCUGAGAGGAUGACCAGCCACACUGGAACUGAGACACGGUCCAGACUCCUACGGGAGGCAGCAGUGGGGAAUAUUGCACAAUGGGCGCAAGCCUGAUGCAGCCAUGC